UGGAUCGCGCUGCUCUGAUGAAACUGGUCAGCGCUGCGCUAUCCAUCGGGUGGCGCAAGUAAACAACUCAUCUCUGCGCUAUCCAGACAGUCGCGCGGCUCUGUCCAUUGGUCCGCGCGUAUAAUUGGUCCGCGCAGCGCGGAUCAAUCGAGUGGCGCAGUUUCGUCCUUCUUUUGAGGAGAUCGGCUUCCCAUAGUAGAGGGAGAGGUCGCGCUCGCGUAUUUUAUCGCGAAAAAAUAGAUGCAACUGAAAAAAACCAUUAAUGCAUUUAAAUGAUUAUAAGGGGAAUCAACGAAGGUAAAAUGUUCAUUACUGUAAAAGGCUGGUAAGUACUGGGAUAAGCUUGGGUCUAUAGUGAUAGUACAAUUCAGCCCCUACACAUUCCGAGACCGAUGUCAUUCGGUGGUAGUAGUAGUACGUGACGUCAUUAGCUGCGAGCCUGCGCACUGAGUGGUAUGUAGUGGAAAGUUGAACCUGUCUUGUUCCUGUGCAUGAAGGCGUAUGACCUCAAAGUACCGCGAGAGUGUGAUUCGAGUGUAAACUCCACCGUAUGCUUUCGUAAUGCUCUCGCGGUAUUUAGAUAUUAUACAUUAGGCUAAAGUCCGUAAAGGCGGCGCCUUUUGAAGUUCAGCACAAUCAUUGUUUUACGAGUGUCAGUGCCCGCAUGGUGCAAACAGAUACUUAAACUGUUACUGCCAGUGAUAUCUUGAUCUGGCCCUUAUUUGCCUUAGAAGCUUAAGUUCACUUUUUUCAUUCAAUAUCAGACAGGAGUUUGGUUUCACUGUGCUAUUGUGUUGAAUGGAUGAGUCUCAGCUUUACUCGGAAACAUUGAAGGUUGAUUCUUUCAGUGUCAAAAAUGUACAGCUCAUCACUGACUUUCAUUUUGUCCGCUACCUUAUUUCCUCAUUCUUCUACUUAUAGGCCUAUAAAUCUAUAAACACGUAGCCAUAUACAGUGCCGCAUUCCAGUCAUAUUUCUGGGAGUGUUUUCUACCUUGGGAAAUGAGUUUCUACAUGUCUGUUCCUACAAUCAACCAUCUGGCCACCUCUCACUCUCCAAUCACUUGUGCCAAUGUCAAAUGCAGCCACGGUAGAUGUGUGAUGGUGAAUCGGAUGGUCAUCUGUGAGUGUAAACUUGGUUACAUGGGUGACACAUGUAGUGAUACAAUCAAUGAGGCUCUCUCCUUACCACUUACGCUCGGCACCUUGGUCUGCAUCAUCGCCUUUCUCUUCCUCAUCUUUGUGUUGGCAUUUGUUCGCCAAAGGCAAAAGAUAAAGCAGAGAAAAAGGGCAGCUGAAGAAGCCUUAAGAAGAAAUGGAGCACAUGUUUAACACGUCUUAAUGCAGUGGUCACCAACCCUGUUCCCGGAGAUUUAUCCUCCUGCAUACUUUAGGUACAACCCUGCUUCAGCACAUCUGCCUCUAAUAUUUAUGUAGGCGUGAAAAGCUUGAUUAGCAGGUUCAUGUGUGUGCAACAUGCAAAAAACAGGUUUGGCAUUUUCACAUUACUGACUUAAAAUGCUUUCAAAAACUCAUGGUUAGUAAAAGUAAUCCCCACGCCCCUUCAUAUUGUUCUCCCUAACAGACUUUUUGAUUUGCAUCAGAUCAUUUUUAUAUCAAUGUUAUGCUGCUAAGGUAUCAAUGUCUUUUACCACAAGGCACUUGACUGACAAUUGUUGUAUAUCAAACGUGACAUGUAUAUGAAAGAAUUUGUAUAGUUUUUUAUGAUAACAUGUUUUCUGACACACCUGUGGGGAGUUAUCUCUAUAAACAUGUUGAUUAGUUGCUUUAAAUGGGUUUUUAUUAACUGAGAAGCCACAGGCAGGUAUCUCUUUCAGGUUGACAUUUAUGAAAGGUAUUUCUGUGUGUCUGUUAUUUAGUUUUACUUUGUUUGUAUUUUGCAGCAACACUUUAUUGAAUUGUAUUUAUUCUAAUUAUUGUUGGCCUCAGGUUAU
This is a long non-coding RNA of Paramisgurnus dabryanus, 1954 nucleotides long. RefSeq lists it as uncharacterized. The record is from RefSeq and is a predicted model, not a curated record. Lineage: Eukaryota; Metazoa; Chordata; Actinopteri; Cypriniformes; Cobitidae.